GCCUGGAUAGCUCAGUUGGCAAGAACAUGGUGCUGAUAAUCCCAAGGUUGCAGGUUUGAUACCCAUUUGGGACA
Podarcis lilfordi (Lilford's wall lizard) is the source of this 74-nucleotide non-coding RNA. The record is from the annotation of a GenBank genome assembly. Lineage: Eukaryota; Metazoa; Chordata; Lepidosauria; Squamata; Lacertidae.